GAUGAACGCUGGCGGCGUGCCUAAUACAUGCAAGUCGAGCGAACAGACGAGGAGCUUGCUCCUCUGACGUUAGCGGCGGACGGGUGAGUAACACGUGGAUAACCUACCUAUAAGACUGGGAUAACUUCGGGAAACCGGAGCUAAUACCGGAUAAUAUAUUGAACCGCAUGGUUCAAUAGUGAAAGACGGUUUUGCUGUCACUUAUAGAUGGAUCCGCGCCGCAUUAGCUAGUUGGUAAGGUAACGGCUUACCAAGGCAACGAUGCGUAGCCGACCUGAGAGGGUGAUCGGCCACACUGGAACUGAGACACGGUCCAGACUCCUACGGGAGGCAGCAGUAGGGAAUCUUCCGCAAUGGGCGAAAGCCUGACGGAGCAACGCCGCGUGAGUGAUGAAGGUCUUCGGAUCGUAAAACUCUGUUAUUAGGGAAGAACAACUGUGUAGGUAACUAUGCACGUCUUGACGGUACCUAAUCAGAAAGCCACGGCUAACUACGUG
Molecule: ribosomal RNA, 497 nt
Filed under: uncultured bacterium
Lineage: Bacteria
Description: partial 16S ribosomal RNA
Rfam family: Bacterial small subunit ribosomal RNA
Source: RNAcentral